This is a small nuclear RNA of Magnolia sinica, 192 nucleotides long. RefSeq annotates it as U2 spliceosomal RNA. Lineage: Eukaryota; Viridiplantae; Streptophyta; Magnoliopsida; Magnoliales; Magnoliaceae. The transcript has a single exon. The record is from RefSeq and is a predicted model, not a curated record.
AUACGUUUCUUGGCCCUUUGGCCUAGAUCAAGUGUGGUAUCUGUUCUUAUCAGUUUAAUAUCUGAUGCAUGGGCCAUCAGCUCACAUGAUAUUAAAUUAAUUUCUUAUGGGGAAGGGCCCACUACGGUAGCUUGUUACUACCCUCAAGUGUUGCCCUCGUUUUGCACUGCUGCAUGGGCAUGUGCAGCCUUA